GGGGGCGAAACGGCUUCGACGGGGAUAUAGAAGCUAUGGUUGCAUACCGAGUUCCUGCCAGCUCGUAAAACCGGCGGGAAAUAAACAUAAUCGCAGACGAUUAUAACUACGCUCUGGCCGCUUAAGGCCAGCGUUCUGCCGGAUUAUUCCUGCGCAUCCGGUAAGAGCGUCGACUAGCGGGAUAAACUUGUUUUGGAUGUUUGCUCCGAUUCAGGUGAAAUUUUGCAGACUAGUCUUUAAAGUAUCCUGCCUGAAGGAGACUUAAAAGGCGAACUAUAGAGUUCGGGCUAAGUAUGUAGAUACCAUUGUGGAAUAUUUUCGGACGCGGGUUCGACUCCCGCCGCCUCCACCA
RNAcentral lists this transfer-messenger RNA (352 nucleotides) under Desulfobacterales. Its description in RNAcentral is "4572-123 sp002084545 Standard tmRNA". It matches the Rfam family "transfer-messenger RNA". Rfam says of the family: Bacterial tmRNA, also known as 10Sa RNA or SsrA, is named for its dual tRNA and mRNA-like properties. RNAcentral also lists the same sequence under 1 other name. The record is from RNAcentral. Lineage: Bacteria; Pseudomonadati; Thermodesulfobacteriota; Desulfobacteria.